This is a long non-coding RNA of Rhea pennata, 211 nucleotides long. RefSeq lists it as uncharacterized. NCBI's taxonomy places the organism in Eukaryota, Metazoa, Chordata, Aves, Rheiformes, Rheidae. The record is from RefSeq and is a predicted model, not a curated record. The transcript is spliced from 3 exons.
UAAAUAGGACCUAAAUUCAAUUCAUUUGUAAAGUGUGUGUAUGAUGUGCUUUUUCAGGAAGACUUGAUAUUGAUGAACUCUGUCUUUCGCAAAGCUAUAGAAAUCAACCAGAGAGCUGACUGACCACGCUGAAGAGUAGCUGAGAAUGACCACCUUGAUUCCUUUGUUUUAUGCUUCAGUUAAAUGAGUUAAUUCAGAAUUUGAGUAAAUU